RNAcentral lists this ribosomal RNA (253 nucleotides) under uncultured bacterium. RNAcentral describes it as "partial 16S ribosomal RNA". It matches the Rfam family "Bacterial small subunit ribosomal RNA", at positions 524 to 776 of the family's 1533-position model. The record is from RNAcentral.
UACGAAGGGGGCUAGCGUUGUUCGGAAUUACUGGGCGUAAAGCGCACGUAGGCGGACUAUUAAGUCAGGCGUGAAAUCCCGGGGCUCAACCCCGGAACUGCCUUUGAUACUGGUAGUCUCGAGUCCGGAAGAGGUGAGUGGAAUUCCGAGUGUAGAGGUGAAAUUCGUAGAUAUUCGGAGGAACACCAGUGGCGAAGGCGGCUCGCUGGUCCGGUACUGACGCUGAGGUGCGAAAGCGUGGGGAGCAAACAGG